This 485-nucleotide ribosomal RNA is filed under the name uncultured bacterium. RNAcentral's name for it is "partial 16S ribosomal RNA". It matches the Rfam family "Bacterial small subunit ribosomal RNA", at positions 30 to 523 of the family's 1533-position model. The record is from RNAcentral.
AUUGAACGCUGGCGGCGUGCUUAACACAUGCAAGUCGAACGAGAACGGAAUAUAGCUUGCUAUAUUUGUCAGCUAAGUGGCGCACGGGUGAGUAAUGUAUAGAUAACCUGCCCUUAAGAAAGGAAUAACAGUUGGAAACGACUGCUAAUGCCCUAUAUGCCUUUAAUACAUAAGUAUGCAAGGGAAACGCUUUAGUGCUUAAGGAUGGGUCUGUAUGGUAUCAGCUUGUUGGUGAGGUAAUGGCUCACCAAGGCUAUGACGCCUAACUGGUUUCGGAGGAUGAUCAGUCACACUGGAGCUGAGACACGGUCCAGACUCCUACGGGAGGCAGCAGUGGGGAAUAUUGCACAAUGGACGAAAGUCUGAUGCAGCAACGCCGCGUGGAGGAUGACACAUUUCGGUGCGUAAACUCCUUUUAUAUAGGAAGAUAAUGACGGUACUAUAUGAAUAAGCACCGGCUAACUCCGUGCCAGCCGCCGCGGUAA